This is a small nucleolar RNA of Cricetulus griseus (Chinese hamster), 120 nucleotides long. The record is from Ensembl. NCBI's taxonomy places the organism in Eukaryota, Metazoa, Chordata, Mammalia, Rodentia, Cricetidae.
AUCAAGGACUAUCCUGAUAGGAUUUCUCCACACAUCGUUAGAAAUGCCUCAUAUUGUAACUUGUGGUUCUGCUUGCUCAUAGGACUGGCUCUUGGGCCUGUGGGGAACUCUGAGACAAUU